Molecule: unclassified non-coding RNA, 147 nt
Filed under: fungal sp.
Lineage: Eukaryota; Fungi
Description: partial internal transcribed spacer region
Rfam family: Eukaryotic small subunit ribosomal RNA (bases 1-46)
Source: RNAcentral
AAGUCGUAACAAGGUUUCCGUAGGUGAACCUGCGGAAGGAUCAUUAUAGUAAGCGAAAGCUCACACAUUUUUAGAGGAAACACGAUAAUAUUUUGACUUGAUCAACUGAUAAUAUCAAAACUUUCAACAACGGAUCUCUUGGUUCUC